UUUUAAUUUAGUAUCAUGCUUGUAAAGCAGAUCACAGAUACAAACUUCUGCUCUAACUAGAAUAAGCUUAGAUCAAAACACUUGGGAAAAAGAAAAAGGAAGACAAGAUAAAAUCUAGAACUUGAACAUUGCUCAACUGAUGGAAAAUGACAAAAGGCUGAUGAAUAUAGGAGCUGAUUUAGAGUUCAAAAGUAUUUGGAAGAGGUGGGAAAUUGUAUCAGUCAUCCCAGAAAGGAUACAUUCUCAAAUGAUGUUUGACUUUGUAAACUGAAGUUAUGAGGAAAAAGAAGGAGCCAGUCCUAGAUGUAAACUGGACAUUUUA
This 322-nucleotide long non-coding RNA is filed under the name Anser brachyrhynchus (Pink-footed goose). RNAcentral describes it as "lncRNA (ENSABRG00000008025.1)". Lineage: Eukaryota; Metazoa; Chordata; Aves; Anseriformes; Anatidae. The record is from RNAcentral.